Molecule: long non-coding RNA, 2299 nt
Organism: Oncorhynchus kisutch (coho salmon)
Lineage: Eukaryota; Metazoa; Chordata; Actinopteri; Salmoniformes; Salmonidae
Source: Ensembl
UGCACGAGGGGGUCCUUCGGGGGUACGCCGGGCAGGGCAACAUUCAGUUGGUGGUACAGUAACCGCAAAAGGUUGGGAACCACUGCAGUAAUACAUGAAGGUGUGGUUGACUGUGAGGGACUGUGAUGUCAGAUGUAUCCUAUUUCCUGUCUUUCUAAGUAGAUGUCAGACAGAGACAGACAGCAGUAUACAGGCAGCUGUGGUGAUGGUGAUGUCACUGCUGAAGUGUUUGCUGCUGUUCUUCUUCUCAUUCAAUGAAUUGACCACAGCAGCAGAAGCCAUUCUCUGGGUGAAGACAGGGGAGAAGUUUACCAUGAAGUGCUCCACCACUCUAAAAGACCAGGAUGGAAUGUACCUGUAUGUUGGGCUGGACAGGGAGGUGUUGUAUUACCACCAGCGUGACUCCAAGCUGUCCCCCAGGAAAGGCUACUGGGACAGAGUGACGACUGAGGGACCUGUGGACCAACUGACCAUCACCGUCAGUAACCUGACCAUAGAGGACACAGGAGUCUACUGGUGUGUUUACACAACAUUCAAUGAUGCCACGUUUGAAAAUGAUAUCAACCAAGGAAAUGGCUCCACUCUGGUCGUGGUGAAUGACGAUGUCCUACAGCUGCCAUGUCCUACAGCUACUGCAGUAACGCCCUUUCACCCAGCCAAUGAGAAGCAGUGCCCAUCUGGCGUGGUAAACAUCAUCAUCAUCAUCAUCAUCAUCAUCACCAGCCUCUUGACCAUCCUGAUGUGUGCUGUCAUCUUCCUCAUCUGGCUCCCUCCACAGGUGAAGAGGUGCUGUAAACAGGGAGGAUCCACACCCCAGGUCAUUCCUGAGAGUGUCUAUGAAGACAUGGCCAGGAAUCACACUUCUCCACCUGACACACAGUGUUUUUAGGUCACUGGACCACUCUGGAAGCUGUUCCAGUGCAUGGGGUCUGCCACACAGUCAGAAGAGCUUCAACGUUAAAAUGAGAACAGUUUGUUAAGACUUGUAUUAUAUUUCAUCACAGGUAGAAAUAUUUUAGCUGCCUAAACUUCAUCAGGUACAUCAGGAUAUUACAUUCCAUUUGAUUAUUCUAUGAUUUUAGUUGAGAUAGCUAGAAGGUUAAAACCAUAAUGGUCUGAGUACAUUGUUGAUGCUGUUACGGAGUAAUGAGUGUGUCUUGUGGUUGAAAAUAGAAUCAUUAAUUUUUACCAAGUGACGUAGUAAUUGUCUCACACUAUGAGUCAGUUUUUUACUUAUGUUUCAACUUCAUAACAGCUAUUUUCACUUUAAAAUAGAUGUAAAUGGGUAUUGUAUCUUUUUAAAGGUAGAAAAUAUUCUCACCAUUUGCCUUUUAAUCAAAGUACUGAUAUAUUCAUGUGUAAUUUAACUUGUGUAUUCAUGUUUAUGUUGUAUUUGUGUAUGUGGUACGCAUUGGUGAUGUUCAGCUAUAUUUCUUACAUUAUAUUGUAUGUUUUGGAAAGCUUUCUAUCUAAACCAAGUGAAGACAAGUUCAGACAGGAAACCAGAGUAUUUGCAUCAGCUGAUAUUGCACCAAUUAGAUUCACUCUACUGCUUUCCGACCACCCACCCCAGAUUCCACCUGCCUUGUUCACUGUUUAUUAUUAUUAUGUUAUCAUUAUGCAUGCUCUGGCAGUGAGCUACCCCAAAGGAGCAGAGCCUAACGCCAAGAGUAAUGUAUUGAAUGCAUUUGAAUACUUUCUAAUAAAUGUCCAAUUUAUAUGUCAAUAUACAUGAGCAGCAUCAUUAAGUUGUUUUUUCAACAUACUGUAUUCUACAAUCAUAUCCAAAAUCAUAACCAUAAGUCAAGUACUCCAUUAAUGUCACACUGACACAUAUCUUGUAAGCCAGACCUCCGUGUGCUGCUGGUGACAGGUGGUUUCUGAUGUGGUGGCAGCAGACAGAUGAGAAACUAUACCCAACACCUCAGGGGAACAUGGAUGCUUCUCUGUUACACGUCACUCAUUUUCAGAAACCCACCACAGUGAGUGAAUAACUCAACACCAACCACACAGAGCAAACCCUGCAUGGCAUACGGAUACGGAGCGCAGGCUGUAUCCCCACUCUCACAAACUCUACUAGUUAUUUAUUUCAGAGAGACACAUUGAGAGAGAAGUGUGUCUUAAAAGUCAAUCUUUUUCUGAACGUAUAAAUGUUAUUCUUAAUCAGAAGACUUAAGGUCGAGGUGGUUUUGUGUCUUCUACUAUGGGUUGGUCAAAACAAGCAUUGUUAAUCCAAGAUGGCGUAGCAGUGCGAACGUGUUUGUCGUUGUCCCAUGUAAAUUAGUUUUUUUUCAUAAUU